Molecule: ribosomal RNA, 497 nt
Filed under: uncultured bacterium
Lineage: Bacteria
Description: partial 16S ribosomal RNA
Rfam family: Bacterial small subunit ribosomal RNA
Source: RNAcentral
GACGAACGCUGGCGGCGUGCCUAAUACAUGCAAGUUGAGCGCUGAAGGUUGGUACUUGUACCCACUGGAUGAGCAGCGAACGGGUGAGUAACGCGUGGGGAAUCUGCCUUUGAGCGGGGGACAACAUUUGGAAACGAAUGCUAAUACCGCAUAAAAACUUUAAACACAAGUUUUAAGUUUGAAAGAUGCAAUUGCAUCACUCAAAGAUGAUCCCGCGUUGUAUUAGCUAGUUGGUGAGGUAAAGGCUCACCAAGGCGAUGAUACAUAGCCGACCUGAGAGGGUGAUCGGCCACAUUGGGACUUGGACACGGCCCAAACUCCUACGGGAGGCAGCAGUAGGGAAUCUUCGGCAAUGGACGAAAGUCUGACCGAGCAACGCCGCGUGAGUGAAGAAGGUUUUCGGAUCGUAAAACUCUGUUGGUAGAGAAGAACGUUGGUGAGAGUGGAAAGCUCAUCAAGUGACGGUAACUACCCAGAAAGGGACGGCUAACUACGUG